Molecule: unclassified non-coding RNA, 292 nt
Filed under: uncultured Kofleriaceae bacterium
Lineage: Bacteria; Pseudomonadati; Myxococcota; Haliangiales; Kofleriaceae
Description: contains 16S-23S intergenic spacer region
Source: RNAcentral
AGGACUACUGGGGUAUCUAAUCCUGUUUGCUCCCCACGCUUUCGCACCUCAGCGUCAGUAUCUUCCCAGAUCGCCGCCUUCGCCACUGGUGUUCCUCCCGAUAUCUACGAAUUUCACCUCUACACCGGGAAUUCCGCGAUCCUCUUAAGUACUCAAGCUCAGCAGUUUUGGAUGCACUUCCUUGGUUGAGCCGAGGGAUAUCACAUCCAACUUGCUAAGCCGCCUACGUGCGCUUUACGCCCAGUAAAUCCGAACAACGCUAGCCCCCUUCGUAUUACCGCGGCUGCUGGCA